UGCAUCUGAUAGGUCUCUGUGUGAUAAAUAUUUUGAAUUGCCUUCUAGGUAAGAGCCUAAUCCUGCUUAGGGAAACAACUUGGAAAGUGGUUUUUUUUUUUUUUUUUUUGAUUUUUAAACUUUUUUUUAAAAAAGUUUUUUAACGUGUGAACUCAUCCAUUAGACUUUACGCUCAAAACACAGGAGCUUGAAGGGGAAAACAAAAAUCAACUCUAAAAUGUUGAAUAGAGAUAUCUUUUUUGUUAUUAAUCUCAGUGUUUAUGAGGAAAGAACCCGUCUCUAAGACUUGAUCCCAUCUCCUUUAUUUGAUGGAUUGUUAAAUCUAUUGAUGAGUGAGUAGUUCAUCCAGCAUCCCCAGCAGCAAGGUCAGUGGAGUGAUUCCUCAAGCCGGCAGGGGAGGAUGGGGUCCUGGUAGAGGAGCCUCCUCCCUGCAGGAGCAUUUUGAGUAUGCAGAACACAGUGGCUCAGCCUGGAGCUGGCAGUUAGUGCUCUCACACACACACACACACACACACACGCAGCAGCGCUUUCCCCUCAAGUGAGGCGGCGUUAGUAACUGCAGUCCCGGCAUCCUAGGCUGGGGACCAGCGGCUACUGGCUGGUUUGUUAGAGGACCCUGGAGCCCAGUUUCCGAGGGACCCGGUGACACGCCGCUGUCACAACUAGUGACAGCUAUUUCUUCCCUGCUGCUUCCCCAGCUCCUGGCAAGAGGACACCCUCUUCCAAAAGCCAGGCAGCCCGGGGAGGAGGCUGCUCCCUGCAGAAGCGAUGCCCAAUUCAACAAGCAACGUAAGAGAUCCAAAGAUGGGAUCUUAACCAGGCCUUCUGAGAAGGUGAAAGGUAAUUUAAAUCAGUUGUUGAGAUAUCUUUUUUCAUUCUUGGUUUUCCCCAGCCCACCUCCUUUCUCACAUAGCCUUGUGAGGCAGGUAAAGAGUUAGCCAGUUGCUUGCACAUUAUGGAUCACCAUUCAGAGCUGUCUCUGCUGAGAGGGAAUCAAUUUCAUUUUAUUUGGAGCCAGAGGUGAUGAUCCUCUGUCACUGCUGGCUCCUCGUCAUGAAGCUUCUUAAUUUUAAAACACUUUUUUCCUCCUCUGUAUCUGAUAGCCUUUCCUGGGUAGCCUGGUGAAUCAGUGUCUUGGGAGAUUUUCAAAAAUAAAGGCCAGAUGAACACUAUAGAUUAAUUCA
RNAcentral lists this long non-coding RNA (1184 nucleotides) under Bos indicus x Bos taurus (hybrid cattle). RNAcentral describes it as "lncRNA (ENSBIXG00005006880.1)". Lineage: Eukaryota; Metazoa; Chordata; Mammalia; Artiodactyla; Bovidae. The record is from RNAcentral.